GUCCUCGUAGCUCAGUAGGAUAGAGCACGGCCCUCCUAAGGCCGGUGUCGGAAGUUCGAAUCUUCUCGAGGACACCA
RNAcentral lists this transfer RNA (77 nucleotides) under Bacillota bacterium. Its description in RNAcentral is "tRNA-Arg". It matches the Rfam family "tRNA". From Rfam's summary of the family: Transfer RNA (tRNA) molecules are approximately 80 nucleotides in length. Lineage: Bacteria; Bacillati; Bacillota. The record is from RNAcentral.